GUCCACGCCGUAAACGAUGUCUACUAGCCGUUGGGAGACUUGAUUUCUUAGUGGCGCAGCUAACGCAAUAAGUAGACCGCCUGGGGAGUACGGCCGCAAGGUUAAACUCAAAUGAAUUGACGGGGCCCGCACAAGCGGUGGAGCAUGUGGUUUAAUUCGAUGCAACGCGAAGAACCUUACCAGGUCUUGACAUCCUCGGAACUAUCCAGAGAUGGAUGGGUGCCUUCGGGAACCGAGAGACAGGUGCUGCAUGGCUGUCGU
Molecule: ribosomal RNA, 261 nt
Filed under: uncultured bacterium
Lineage: Bacteria
Description: partial 16S ribosomal RNA
Rfam family: Bacterial small subunit ribosomal RNA
Source: RNAcentral